ACUGAAAGUUAAUAAUGCAUUUUGAUUCUACUACUAAAGAAAAUCCAAAAACCAGAAAGGAUAUAUAUUCGUUGUCAGAUAACAAUCUUUAUUUCUUGAUUUAGGUGUUCACUGUUGGCAGAAUUUGUGCCAGCCGUACCAGAAUUUAUCAUAAACUGAAACAUUUUAAAUUCAAACUAUACCAGGAAUGUUGCACCAUUGCAAUGACAGAAGAAGUUGAAGAUGAACAAGUUAAAGAAACAGUGGAAAGAAUUUUCAGGCGGUCAAAAGAAAAUGGCUGGAUUAAGGAGAAAUAUGGUCAACUUGAAGAAUAUCUCAAUUUUGCGGAUUACUUUCAAGAAGAGAAGUUUGAGUUGUAACACAUUUCCAUCAGAGAAGAUUUUUUAAAUUCCUGUAAAUGUGAAGAUCAUGAUUCUUGUUUUUCUGUAUCAUGUGACAUGUUUGUACAUUUUAUCUAUAUCUUCAUGGCAAAAUAUUUUGUUUAAAACAUGAUUAUGUUAAUUCCUGUGAAGUGGCACUCUACACUCUAAUUAAACUUUUAUCUGAUGUACAUAAAA
Molecule: small RNA, 557 nt
Filed under: Pan troglodytes (chimpanzee)
Lineage: Eukaryota; Metazoa; Chordata; Mammalia; Primates; Hominidae
Description: retained intron
Source: RNAcentral